This 429-nucleotide ribosomal RNA is filed under the name Bacillota bacterium. RNAcentral's name for it is "Firmicutes bacterium partial 16S ribosomal RNA". It matches the Rfam family "Bacterial small subunit ribosomal RNA", at positions 355 to 776 of the family's 1533-position model. Lineage: Bacteria; Bacillati; Bacillota. The record is from RNAcentral.
UAGGGAAUCUUCGGCAAUGGACGGAAGUCUGACCGAGCAACGCCGCGUGAGUGAAGAAGGUUUUCGGAUCGUAAAGCUCUGUUGUUAGAGAAGAACGUUGGUAGGAGUGGAAAAUCUACCAAGUGACGGUAACUAACCAGAAAGGGACGGCUAACUACGUGCCAGCAGCCGCGGUAAUACGUAGGUCCCGAGCGUUGUCCGGAUUUAUUGGGCGUAAAGCGAGCUCAGGCGGUUCUUUAAGUCUGAAGUUAAAGGCGGGGGCUUAACCCUUGUACGCCUUGGAAACUGGAGGACUUGAGUGCAGAAGGGGAGGGUGGAAUUCCAUGUGUAGCGGUGAAAUGCGUAGAUAUAUGGAGGAACACCGGUGGCGAAAGCGGGCCUCUGGUCUGUAACUGACACUGAGGGUCGAAAGCGUGGGGAGCAAACAGG